RNAcentral lists this ribosomal RNA (468 nucleotides) under uncultured bacterium. RNAcentral describes it as "partial 16S ribosomal RNA". It matches the Rfam family "Bacterial small subunit ribosomal RNA", at positions 28 to 507 of the family's 1533-position model. The record is from RNAcentral.
GACGAACGCUGGCGGCGUGCUUAACACAUGCAAGUCGAACGGACAGGCCCUGCUUUUGUGGGGUGCUCGAGUGGCGAACGGGUGAGUAACACGUGAGUAACCUGCCCUUGACUUUGGGAUAACUUCGGGAAACUGGGGCUAAUACCGGAUAGGAGCUCCUGCUGCAUGGUGGGGGUUGGAAAGUUUCGGCGGUUGGGGAUGGACUCGCGGCUUAUCAGCUUGUUGGUGGGGUAGUGGCUUACCAAGGCUUUGACGGGUAGCCGGCCUGAGAGGGUGACCGGCCACAUUGGGACUGAGAUACGGCCCAGACUCCUACGGGAGGCAGCAGUGGGGAAUAUUGCACAAUGGGCGGAAGCCUGAUGCAGCAACGCCGCGUGCGGGAUGACGGCCUUCGGGUUGUAAACCGCUUUCGCCUGUGACGAAGCGUGAGUGACGGUAAUGGGUAAAGAAGCACCGGCUAACUACGUG